Molecule: ribosomal RNA, 482 nt
Filed under: uncultured bacterium
Lineage: Bacteria
Description: partial 16S ribosomal RNA
Rfam family: Bacterial small subunit ribosomal RNA
Source: RNAcentral
AUUGAACGCUGGCGGCAUGCUUUACACAUGCAAGUCGAACGGUAACAGGCCGCAAGGUGCUGACGAGUGGCGAACGGGUGAGUAAUGCAUCGGAACGUGCCCAGUCCUGGGGGAUAACUACUCGAAAGAGUAGCUAAUACCGCAUACGAUCUAUGGAUGAAAGCGGGGGACCGUAAGGCCUCGCGCGAUUGGAGCGGCCGAUGUCAGAUUAGGUAGUUGGUGGGGUAAAGGCUCACCAAGCCAACGAUCUGUAGCUGGUCUGAGAGGACGACCAGCCACACUGGGACUGAGACACGGCCCAGACUCCUACGGGAGGCAGCAGUGGGGAAUCUUGGACAAUGGGCGCAAGCCUGAUCCAGCAAUGCCGCGUGCAGGAAGAAGGCCUUCGGGUUGUAAACUGCUUUUGUACGGAACGAAACGGCUCUGGUUAAUACCCGGGGCUAAUGACGGUACCGUAAGAAUAAGCACCGGCUAACUACGUG